RNAcentral lists this ribosomal RNA (495 nucleotides) under uncultured bacterium. RNAcentral describes it as "partial 16S ribosomal RNA". It matches the Rfam family "Bacterial small subunit ribosomal RNA", at positions 28 to 507 of the family's 1533-position model. The record is from RNAcentral.
GACGAACGCUGGCGGCGUGCCUAAUACAUGCAAGUAGAACGCUGAAGGAGGAGCUUGCUCUUCUGGAUGAGUUGCGAACGGGUGAGUAACGCGUAGGUAACCUGCCUGGUAGCGGGGGAUAACUAUUGGAAACGAUAGCUAAUACCGCAUAAGAGUAGAUGUUGCAUGACAUUUACUUAAAAGGUGCAAUUUCAUCACUACCAGAUGGACCUGCGUUGUAUUAGCUAGUUGGUGGGGUAACGGCUUACCAAGGCGACGAUACAUAGCCGACCUGAGAGGGUGAUCGGCCACACUGGGACUGAGACACGGCCCAGACUCCUACGGGAGGCAGCAGUAGGGAAUCUUCGGCAAUGGACGGAAGUCUGACCGAGCAACGCCGCGUGAGUGAAGAAGGUUUUCGGAUCGUAAAGCUCUGUUGUAAGAGAAGAACGAGUGUGAGAGUGGAAAGUUCACACUGUGACGGUAUCUUACCAGAAAGGGACGGCUAACUACGUG